AAAAUCUAUUCCACGGAAUCCCGUGGAGACGGGAUAGUAAUCCGGAUCGAUCCCCUCCUCCUACCUCACUCUUCUCCCCUAAAUCAUUGGAGCCAACAGCCACCGUCGUCCCCGUCCCCGUCGCUGUCGCCCCACCGCUCGUCGGAGCCGGUGGCCGCCGUCGUCCCAGUCGCCGUCGCCCCACCGCUCGUCGGAGCCGGCGGCCACCGCUGCGGGGGAGGCGGCGACGACGAGGAGAAUGGCGACAGGUGCGGUGAACAAGAGGGAGAGCGGGAGCGGGGGCGCGGAGGCCGCUGCCGGCGCCGGGGAAGCCGCCGCUGGCUCAGGACCCCGGCCGCCGAGGAGGACGACGACGGCGCGGCCUCGGCAAGGGUCACCCUCAAGCUCGCCUCCCUUGCCGCGCCGCUCUGGCUCCCCGCCCUUGUCGGUCUUCUCAUCGGCUGCCCCGCCUCGCCGACCACCGGAUUCGCCACUGCCUCCUCCACGCUUCGCCUCGCCGAUCACCGGAUUCGCGCACCGCCUCCUUCUCCUGCUCCACCACGCGGCUGCCUCCUCCUCUCUCCCCUCCUGCUCCAGGCUACUGGUACCAGGUAUCACGGGUAUCAGGUACCAGGUAUCACGGGUACCAGGUACCAGGCUACUAGGUACCAGGUAUCACGGGUAUCAAAUACCAGAUAUCACGGGUACCAGGUACCAGGCACCAGGGAGGCGGUGGGAGCAGCGGGCAAGGACGACGGCGACCUUGGCGAGGAGCGCGAGGGAGGAGGGGAGAGGCCCCGGCGCCGGCAGCAACGAGAGCGCCAGUGGAAGAAGCAGCGCCACAUCGCGUGGAGGCGGCACCGCAGCGGGCGGAGGACGACGUCGUGGAGGUGCGGCGAGAUCACCCUCGACGCCGCCCCGACCUCGCCGACGCCGUGCCGUCGUCGUCCACGGCCGCCGGAGACGACGACGACCCCUUCCUCCUGGCCAGCUUCAUCUCCGCCUCUCGUUUUCUUCUCCUGUGAGAGAGAGAGAGUUUGUGGAGGGGAAAGGAAGGAGAUAAGGUAGUGGAGAUCUU
This 1057-nucleotide long non-coding RNA is filed under the name Oryza sativa Indica Group (long-grained rice). RNAcentral's name for it is "lncRNA OsKYG_06g0017470". Lineage: Eukaryota; Viridiplantae; Streptophyta; Magnoliopsida; Poales; Poaceae. The record is from RNAcentral.